GAUGAACGCUGGCGGCGUGCCUAAUACAUGCAAGUCGAGCGACAAGAUGAGGUGCUUUCUCCUCUUACGUUCGAGGCGCAAACGUGAGUGAAAUGUGGCUAACCUUCCUCUAUAAUUGGGGUUAAUUAGGGGAACCGGUGGCUAUAACGGCUUAUAACUUGAACGGGAUGGUUCAAUAGUGCAAGACGUCUUUGCUUUCAAUUAUCCGUGGUUCGAUGUCGGAUUAGCUAGUUGGUAAGGUAACGGCUUACCAAGGCGACGAUCAGUAGCUGACCUGAGAGGAUGAUCGGCCACACUGGAACUGAGACACGGCCCAGACUCCUACGGGAGGCAGCAGUGGGGAAUCUUGGACAAUGGGCGAAAGCCUGAUCCAGCAACGCCGCGUGUGUGAAGAAGGCCUUCGGGUUGUAAAGCACUGUUGUCAGGAAAGAAAUGGUUCUGGUUAAUACAUGGGGUCGAUGACGGUACCGGAAGAAUAAGGACCGGCUAACUACGUG
RNAcentral lists this ribosomal RNA (497 nucleotides) under uncultured bacterium. Its description in RNAcentral is "partial 16S ribosomal RNA". It matches the Rfam family "Bacterial small subunit ribosomal RNA", at positions 28 to 507 of the family's 1533-position model. The record is from RNAcentral.